AAUCAACGCUGGCGGCGUGCCUCAGACAUGCAAGUCGAACGCGAAACCUUCCUUCGGGAGGGGAGUAGAGUGGCGCACGGGUGAGUAACACGUAGGUAAUCUACCUUUGGGUGGGGAAUAACAGCCGGAAACGGCUGCUAAUACCGCAUAAUGCAGCGGCUCGACAUCGAGACAGUUGUUAAAGCGGGGGAUCGUAAGACCUCGCGCCUAAAGAGGAGCCUGCGGCAGAUAGCUAGUUGGUAAGGUAACGGCUUACCAAGGCGACGAUCUGUAGCCGGCCUGAGAGGGCGGUCGGCCACACUGACACUGACAUACGGGUCAGACUCCUACGGGAGGCAGCAGUCGGGAAUUUUGGGCAAUGGGCGAAAGCCUGACCCAGCAACCGCCGCGUGAAGGAUGAAAUCCCUCGGGAUGUAAACUUCGCAAGAACGGGAAGAAUAAGUAGAAGCGAAUACCUUCUAUGAUGACGGUACCGUUU
This 478-nucleotide ribosomal RNA is filed under the name uncultured bacterium. Its description in RNAcentral is "bacterial SSU rRNA". It matches the Rfam family "Bacterial small subunit ribosomal RNA", at positions 32 to 483 of the family's 1533-position model. The record is from RNAcentral.